This 4932-nucleotide long non-coding RNA is filed under the name Daucus carota (carrot). Its description in RNAcentral is "long non-coding RNA (DCAR_LNC000347)". The record is from RNAcentral. Lineage: Eukaryota; Viridiplantae; Streptophyta; Magnoliopsida; Apiales; Apiaceae.
UACGCUCCAGUUCCUUUUCUUCGUGUUCUGCAAUGCGUUUCUUUUCCUUGUCUUGUUUAGCCUCUUCAUAGAAGUAGGAUACAGAGCCCCAAAGAGCAAGAAAAAGAGAUAUUCCCUUUUCAGGUGUAAAUUUCUCACCGAACAUAAAUACAGCCAGGAUCUCCGAAACAGGUAGCAGAGCCGAAAUUAGUAUACCAGAGAGUAUUGAGUUGUUGCAGAAAAUCACUCCAAUGGCUCCCAAGAAAAACAGCUGCCAAAGAAAUGCAUCUGCUGCUAGUACUAAAUAAUACAUCGUUUGUCCAAGCUCAAAACUCGCAGCUUCUCUAGGGAUCGCCUGCAAGAAUAAGUCAAUGCAAUUAGUAACAAGUAGCUCUCCAAUUCUUGAUUUACAUCUGAUUUAAAUAGCCUAUAACAGUGAAUUUAGAAAAUCUGAACCUUUAGAAAAAUACUUCACAAACUUUUUCAAGUCCAUAAUCUACUAAAUACGUGCAAGUGAAGGAAAUAUUUUAGUCGUGCUAGAUACGGACCUGGAAAUCAUUAUUGAUUACCAUCCCAACGACGCAGAGGAUUGUAGCAGAAAGAGAUAUGAUGAUCUGCAUCUCGAUGACUAAAGAAUAAGUGACGGUCUGUUUCGCUUUCUUGUAUAUGAGCUCAACAGAUGGCAAGACAAAUCCAUACAAAACUGCAACUCCCAGGGUCAUCAGGAAUCCAAUCAAGAGCACGUGAAGAUACAUAUCGGCAAUAGAGAGCGGGAUCAACCAUAGAAGGCGUCCUGCCUUGCAGAGACCAUAAAUUACAGUCACACGAAGGAAUCAACUGGCUUAUGCAAGACAGGUCACACUUCUAUAACAGAUAAACUGCUCUGAAUUAUACAGAGAGAGGUGGGAGAGAGAGAGAGAUCGAGAGAGAGGGAGAGAGAUCAGACAUAGAAGGUGUCCUGCCUUGCAAAAUCCAUAGAUAACAAGGUACAAGUAGAAAUCAAUUGGCUUAUGCAAGACAGGUCACACUUCUGUGACUGAAAACUGGCUCCCGUGAGGAGGAAGUAGAAGAGAGAGAUGUGUGUUUUGCAGCGGCUACGAACCUUUAACUUGUUUAUAUACACGUAGGGAGCCUAACUAGGGUAAACUUCAAACUCAUCUUUUGUGUUUAUCCCUUUCCAAUCCACCAAAUUGGGCCCAUAGCCCAUUAAAAUAAUAAACAUAUUAAUUAUGUCAAUAAUUAUUUCUUAAUAUUCCCUCCAUCCCAAAUUAGAUGAACUCGUUGACUUUGGGCACACAAUUUAAGGUUCAUUAACCGCAUAGCUACAUGACUUAUUUUUGGAAUUUUAUUUUUGUAAAUAAAAAUUAAAAUAUGAAAUUUUCAUUUACAAAAAAAAAACAAAAAAUAAAUUUCGAAAGUAGACUGUCAAUGCAUCUAAAAUUAUGUGCCAAAGUCAACUAGCUCAUCUAAUUUGGGAUGAAGUUAGUAUUAACCAAUUCUGUCAUAGAGAAAAUUAAUUUCCGUACCAACCAAAAUUCGAAUCCGAUCAAAUUUUUUAAUGUUUUGGACCGAGCCGAACUAAUAUCGUAGAUGGGCUCCAAGGAGGAUGAUGAAACAGACAUAACUUGAUGAGUAAUAUCCCGAUAAUUUCAAAUGAUAUUCUGGAUUUCAUCAAGUAAUCUGUAUUUGUUUAGAAAGUUAGAUUUGGAUUUCAAUUAAAAUCCUGAUAUUUAAAUAUUGAUAAAUACGCAAACUUAAAAUGAUAACUCAAAUCUUAUUAUUUGAAAUCCAACAUUUGAAAUGAAAUACAUAUUUUCAAACGGCCUCUUGCAACAAUUUACAGCGAGAUCAGACUUGCUAGAGGAAUGAGCAAAUAAAAUCAUACAACGUUUUUACAGGCUUGACAGAGUGUUUGUUUUUCAAGAUGCUACACCAACACAAGUACACAAUGUAAGAUCAAGGUAAAGUUGCACUCUGUUACUGUGGUGGAUCAAGAUUUGAAGCUUUCUUGUGGAUCUUUUUAUUCUGGAACUCUCCAUAGAAGUAGGAUAUGAAACCCCAGAGAGAUAGAGUUAGGGAAAUGGCCUUCUCUACUUGGAACUUGUCGUGAAAGAACAGUAUUGCCAAGGUCUCUGUCACUGGCAGAAGCGUCGCGAUUAUAAUGCCAGAGAGCAAAGAAGAGGCACAGAAAAUGACUCCUGUUGCUCCCAGGAAGAACAACUGCCAGAGGAUCGCGUUAAGGAUCAGAGUUAAAUAAUAUACCGUGAUUCCAAGCUCAAACUCCCUUGAUUCUCUUGAAAUAGCCUGCAAUGUUGCGGUGCAUCAAGUGGACAGAAAUAUUAAAUAUGUUAAUGUUGAAAUAUAACAUAAGAUCCAUUUGGCGUUUUUAGAUGGACUGUUCUCUCAACAUGGUAUCAGAGGAAGGUCUCAAAUGGAUCUUAUGAUAUAUUUCAGCAGUGCUUGUCUACUAGUGAAUGAGAUUUACCGUGAAGUCAUGGUUUACCAGCAUGCCUAUUGCACAAACAACGGUGGCGAAGAAUGACAUAACCACCUGCAUCUCCAUGACCACAGAAUAGUUUAUGGGCUGUUUAGCCUUCUUGCACAUCAACUCAAUCGCUGGUAGUAUAAAUCCAUACAAUGCGGCUGCUCCAAGAGUCAUAAAGAAGCCUAAAAAGUAUUGCUUGUUGGACUCAUCAGCAGGACGAUCAGAGCUAGUAUGAAAUGCAAGAACUACAGCUCCAAUACAUAACAAAAAGACAGCAUUGAUGGUGAAGCUUGUAAACUUUUGCCUAACCAGAAGAAAUGCAAAUCCAGCCGUAAAAGCCAACUGAGUAGCAAUUAUAAGAGCAGAGGUUGAUACAGGAAGGCGAGCCACACCAUAGGAAUACAUGUAGUCAUCAGCCCCGGUGAGAAUGCCAAUAAUUGCACACGGAAUGAUGAGAGCCGGUUUGAUGGAUACGAGCUUGUUCCCUGGACUUCCCUUCCUCCGACGAUACAGAUAAGAGAUUAUGAUUGGAAAAAAGAGAAAAGGCCAGCCAGCGGUUUCUAGACAGCUUGACAACCAAACUCGCUUCCCCCCUUUGACAAAGUACAAUCGCUGCACUUGAGGACCACCGCAAUUCCCUAAGCCUAACAUCAUGCAAUUUAAGACGAGGAGGAGCCUCUUCAUGGAUUUGCUCAUUCCGUGCUCAUUAUAGUCUAGUAUAUCGUUUGCAACUGGAAUAGCCAUUGCAUUAACUGAUUAUCCUGUCAACUCGCAAAACCUGCAAUACACAGAGAAUUAUAUAUGUUUAGUACAUAUGGAGCUGGACUCGCAAAAACUUAAUGCUGAAGUAAACAUAACUAGUAAUUAUUUCAAUCACAGUAUACUUGGUGCCACAGUCUUCACAAACAAAUGUGAAGAGUGCAUCGUAUACCAGAGCUUGAUCAAGAUAAUUCUACAGGACUCCGAAAGCCUACCUGUCAGGCUGUCACAAACUCAAUAUCCUCAGAAGGUAACAUCUACGUCUCUACGGUUUAACUAUAUGUACUGCACCUCUGUUUUGUUAUUCUUUGGAGACAUGAAAAUGUCUACUCAUAGUGGUACUAAUCAUCCUACCACUAAUUAAAAGGUAUUCGCGCAACUAAAUCAGCUACAGCGGAAAGCAGAGGUGGAGACUGCAAUAUCCUUAGCCCCACAUAAACCUGAUAAGAUUGUUGUUAUCAGCGCACUUUGAGUCCUGCUUUGUUGCAGGGGCAGUUGAAGUACAACUUUAAGGAGUUUCCCUUUUAAUUAUCUAUUCGCGUAGGAUGUAAAAUAAAAAUUGGAAGCUUAUAAUUUUGGAUGUAAGAGAUCUUUCUAACUAACUGGUGGUCAAGUACUCGAGAUGUGUCUGGUUAAAAGUUUAGAUAGUACCUGCUGCAUAAACACUCAGAUUGAUACUGCAACAAAAAAAUUAGGAUCAAAAUCUCUUUAAUUGCCAACCACCUGUUACCCAUCGGAAAAAAGAAAGCAUCAAACUUUUUGAAAUUAGCAAGAAAAACCUUUUAAAUGAGAAUAUCUGUGAUUUGUACAUGAAUAAGGAAUUACAGUUACUGGCUCGUAGAGUUUGAAUGUAGAAUUGUUUGCACCAGAAAAUGAUUUACAUUCGAUAUUCAUAAGAAAGUUAUUCUAAGCCCCAAUCAAUCUGCAAAAGUUAGUGAGCAAUUGUUUCCUACCAAACCCCAAACUCAAAUAGAGAAUUCAAGCACUUUGAAAGGAACUCAACUCGAGAUGAUCUAAAAGUUUGAUGUAAAUGUUUACCAAACGGAUGUAGUUUCAUUGCUUUUUGUAAUGCGCUUACUUUUUUUUCCAUAAUAAUCAUUACUAGGUUGGUAAAUUUUCUAAUGAAAAUAAGUUUCAUCUCUGAUAAGGUUCUGGUGACACCAAUAACUCUGAUAAGUUUCUGGUGACACCAAUAACCUCUUUGCCACUGGUGUUUNNNNNNNNNNNNNNNNNNCAGUUUAUGCUCUCGAAUUCAUGAACCAUAAUUUCAAUAGAUUCCAGAAAUUUUCAUAACUCAUAAUUAGCUACAGCUACUAGAAAAAUAAAAAACUAACAAGACUACAUUGUUUUCGCUAGUUUUACUUCUGCAAUACUAUCUGAGUAAUAUCCGUAAACUGAUAUUCAUCUUGUGCAAUACGCUCCAGUUCCUUUUCUUCGUGUUCUGCAAUGCGUUUCUUUUCCUUGUCUUGUUUAGCCUCUUCAUAGAAGUAGGAUACAGAGCCCCAAAGAGCAAGAAAAAGAGAUAUUCCCUUUUCAGGUGUAAAUUUCUCACCGAACAUAAAUACAGCCAGGAUCUCAGAAACAGGUAGCAGAGCCGAAAUUAGUAUACCAGAGAGUAUUGAGUUGUUGCAGAAAAUCACUCCAAUGGCUCCCAAGAAAAACAGCUGCCAAAGAAAUGCAUCUGCUGCUAGUACUAAAUAAUACAUCGU